GACCUAAUAUCAAAUGGACAGGCCCUUAGAGAGAAAUUCUGGCAUGCCGCAUAUGAAAGAGAGAGAUGGAGCUAGAUGAGUCAACGUCAAAAUCAUAUGAUCAAAACAUUGAACUCACAUUCAGAAAAUCGCUAAUUUUUCUCUCAUUCUGAAUUGAACACAUAGUUAAUCUGAUUGAUUCGAUUUGUAAAAGUGUUGAACAUUCUAAUAAAAGGAAUUAGCGAAUCCAUCUGCUAUUACGAAAUUCAAAGCACCAAAAGAACUAAUUUUCAAAUAAAAUGCCUCACACUCGUGCAGCCUUCAAUUGUACAGCGAGAUUAGAAAAAAGCCAAAAGUUGAAAUUUCAUUCUUCACAGUUUUCCAAAGGAUGCGAAUUAAGGGAACAGUAGAUGAAAGCUGAAGAAGAAUUGAUUUCAACCCUUUUUCCUUGUUGAAAAUAUGCAGCAACCGUUUUCAUCAACAUAAUUUAUUAAUAUUCAUGGUACAAAAACUCUGAAAAAAGAUGUUAUUCCUUCAGUUUUCAGUUUCUCCAAUUAUAUGCCUGAGAGAUUAAAUUAUGGAGAUAAAUGUCUUGAAGAUAAUAUUGAAGGUACAUUAAUAUUUUAUUUUUUAUGGAUGUGAAAUAUCUAUUUAUUUUCCGUCCCUUAUUUUAUUCAUUCAUAUAAAUAAUUAUUGCAAAAGAAAUUGAACAGGACCAGCCAGAGACAAAACAGCAAGAGAUGGGGCAACCAGAGACGGUACAACUGUUUAUAAUAUCAAAAUCCUCUGCUGCUGCCAUGGAAGAUUUUUCCCCAAGAUUGAAUACUAAUAUUAGAAAUACUAGAAAUUAGAAACCUGGGAAUGAGGAUUUCCAAGAAUGGAACACUAGACGAAGUAAUAUCUGAGAGAAACAUCCAAAGAAAACCAAUAAUCUCAAUGUUAAAUAGGAUAUUAUCGAUUAAAAACAUAAAUGUGAAUAAUAAGAAAAAAUGUACUUAAUAAUUAGGAGCAUAAUAACAUACAGCUCUGAAGUGAACAGCAGCUGGAAAAUCUGAAAGGGACAUGAUACCAAAUGAUACAAUAAGACAUAGAAUGGAAAUAAGACAUGAUAUUAUUGAUCUUAAGAACACAACAGUUGGUUUGGUACAGACAAGUCCAUAAAUACUUAUGAUACUAGGUGUGAUUUAAAUGAUAAUAAUUUUUUUAGAUUGCCAUACUAAAUGAGGAACAUAUUCUGUGCCGUGGCUUAAAAAUUCAUCUUUAGGGAAGCUCAUUCACUGAAAGGCUGAAAAUGGGAAAAAUGAAUGUAUCAUAACUGAUCCUUGGAGAGAUAAGGAGAAGAAGAUUCAUAAAUUUCAAGAUUUGGAGGAGUUUAGAACUAAGAAGAGGAAGAGCUCAAUCCUGAUAUUUUUCAAUAUCCUGGAUAUUAAAUGAUUGGAAGAGUGAAUAUCCUCCUUAGUGGAGAGUGAGAAAUCCGACUGCGAAUAUGUUCUUCCUCAUGCGCUGAUAGGCUAGAGUCGGACCAUUUUUUAAAUCAUUUAUUGUAAUAAUGUAUUUUGAACAGCAAUGAAAACUUAAUGAAUACAAUUCUUCAUAAAC
Molecule: long non-coding RNA, 1578 nt
Organism: Harmonia axyridis
Lineage: Eukaryota; Metazoa; Arthropoda; Insecta; Coleoptera; Coccinellidae
Exons: 5
Source: RefSeq, a predicted model, not a curated record